GAUGAACGCUGGCGGCGUGCUUAACACAUGCAAGUCGAGCGGACACGUCCAAGUUUGCUUCGGAACUCGAGUGGCGAACGGGUGAGUAACACGUCGGUGAUCUGCCCCGCACUUCGGGAUACGCUUGGGCAACUGGGUCCAAUACCGGAUAGGGUCACCUCUCGGAGGAUGUGGUGGCAAGUUUUUUCGGUGUGGGAUGAGCUCGCGGCCUACCAGCUUGUUGGGGGGGUAAUGGCCUACCAAGGCGUCGACGGGUAGCCGGCCUGGGAGGGUGUACGGCCACAUUGCGACUGAGAUACGGCCCGGACUCCUACGGGAGGCGGCAGUGGGGAAGAGUGCACUAUGGGCGCAGGCCUGGUGCAGCGACGCCGCGUGGGGGAUGACGGCCAUCGGGUUGUGUACUCCUGUCGCUAGGUACGGAGCGCAAGUGACGGUACCGAAAGAAGAAGCACCGGCUAACUACGUG
This 466-nucleotide ribosomal RNA is filed under the name uncultured bacterium. RNAcentral's name for it is "partial 16S ribosomal RNA". It matches the Rfam family "Bacterial small subunit ribosomal RNA", at positions 28 to 507 of the family's 1533-position model. The record is from RNAcentral.